UAGGAAUGCAGUCUUCCAUGUGUCUCAUGU
This 30-nucleotide non-coding RNA is filed under the name Mus musculus (house mouse). Lineage: Eukaryota; Metazoa; Chordata; Mammalia; Rodentia; Muridae. The record is from RNAcentral.